This is a non-coding RNA of Tephrocybe sp. NHM501043, 100 nucleotides long. The record is from the annotation of a GenBank genome assembly. Lineage: Eukaryota; Fungi; Basidiomycota; Agaricomycetes; Agaricales; Lyophyllaceae.
GCCUUGGUGGUCUAGUAGUAUGAUUCCUCCUUCGGGAAAACCCCUGCUUCAGAGGAGGCAUAAUUGGAGGAGGUCCUGGGUUCAAUUCCCAGCCAGGGCC